AUUGAACGCUGGCGGCAUGCUUUACACAUGCAAGUCGAACGGUAACAGGCCGCAAGGUGCUGACGAGUGGCGAACGGGUGAGUAAUGCAUCGGAACGUGCCCAGUCGUGGGGGAUAACGCAGCGAAAGCUGCGCUAAUACCGCAUACGAUCUAUGGAUGAAAGCGGGGGACCGUAAGGCCUCGCGCGAUUGGAGCGGCCGAUGUCAGAUUAGGUAGUUGGUGGGGUAAAGGCUCACCAAGCCAACGAUCUGUAGCUGGUCUGAGAGGACGACCAGCCACACUGGGACUGAGACACGGCCCAGACUCCUACGGGAGGCAGCAGUGGGGAAUUUUGGACAAUGGGCGCAAGCCUGAUCCAGCAAUGCCGCGUGCAGGAAGAAGGCCUCGGUUGUAACGUGCUUUGUACGGUAACGAACGGACGUACUGUUAAUAUACUGGGUCGUAAGUGACGGUACCGUAACGUAAUAAGACACCGGCUAACCUACGUAGCCACGCACG
RNAcentral lists this ribosomal RNA (498 nucleotides) under uncultured bacterium. RNAcentral describes it as "bacterial SSU rRNA". It matches the Rfam family "Bacterial small subunit ribosomal RNA", at positions 30 to 525 of the family's 1533-position model. The record is from RNAcentral.